Molecule: long non-coding RNA, 1170 nt
Filed under: Sus scrofa (pig)
Lineage: Eukaryota; Metazoa; Chordata; Mammalia; Artiodactyla; Suidae
Description: lncRNA (ENSSSCG00000055095.1)
Source: RNAcentral
AGGGUGGCCCUAACGGCCCGGGUGGCCCUAACGCAAGCCCUACUGGUGGUGGCUGCGAGAAACGCAAAGGGGAAGGAGAAAAGAGGCCUGAAGAAGGUGACUUGCUUGACCAACAGAACGUAGCACGAGUGAAAUUCUAAGAUUUCCAAGGCCAGGUCAUAAGAAGUCUUGCAGCUUCCACCCAGCCCUUUGAAGAACUCACUCUGGUGAUCCUGAGUCACCUUGGAAGAAGUCUGACUCCCUUCAGGUCAUCAUGCUAGAGAGGCCACACGUGUGCCAGUCAACAUGCCAGCUGAGCCCAGUCUUCCAGCCGAGGCACCAUACUGGAAGAAGCUUUGGGAGGCAACUUGGCAGGCCUGGAGAGAAGAGACGUCUCUCCCACAGCAUCAGCAAACUAACACAUCAGAAGAGGGACUGAUGGGCUGUCCGCUUUGCCCAGAACCCCACCCAGCUGCUAGAACCUGCUGGCUGUCUCCCGGGCCCUCCGCUCCUCCGGGGACCCUGUGCUGUUGUCCUGCGGGCCUGUAAACAUGCUGUAAACAACUGGUACUUGAGGAACCAGGAGAGAGAGAGCACCAGGACACGCUGUUACGUAACUGAACCCUCGACGCCCCUUGAGAAUGACAUGUUUGCAAGUUCCCAGGGACUGAUGCUACUGGGGCAACGAGGGAGAGAAGCCCCGCUUCAUCCUCCCCUUCCUCCUCCUCGGCCCACAUUUCCUCCUGUGGAAAUACUGGCUACCACGAGGGGUUCUAGCUUCAGCGCUGCGUUUUCUUGCCUGUGGCCCUUGUGACUGGCAUAGAAAUAAUUCAGCUGUUUCCAUUUUAAUUCCUCACCACAUGGCCAGAAUUGCUUAUCAAUGUAUAUUUUAAAAGGACAAAAAAAAUAUUUUAGGAGUUCCUGUUGUGGCGCAGUGGUUAACGAAUCCGACUAGGAACUAUGAGGUUGCGGGUUCGGUCCCUGCCAUUGCUCAGUGGGUUGACGAUCCGGCGUUGCCGUGAGCUGUGAUGUAGGUUGCAGACCUGGCUUGGAUCCCGAGUUGCUGUGGCUCUGGCGUAGGCCGGUGGCUACAGCUCCGAUUUGACCCCUAUCCUGGGAACCUCAAUAUGCCGCGGUAGCGGCCCAAGAAAUAGCAACAACAACAACAACAACAACAAAGACAAAAAAAAG